Long non-coding RNA from Oncorhynchus keta (chum salmon), 526 nucleotides. RefSeq lists it as uncharacterized. The transcript is spliced from 3 exons. Lineage: Eukaryota; Metazoa; Chordata; Actinopteri; Salmoniformes; Salmonidae. The record is from RefSeq and is a predicted model, not a curated record.
CUCACCAUUACCAAUAACAGGGGAGGUUAGCAUGUUAUAUCAUACCCCCAAGACAUGCUAACCUCUCACCAUUACCAAUAACAGGGGAGGUUAGCAUGUUAUAUCAUACCCCCAAGACAUGCUAACCUCUCACCAUUACCAAUAACAGGGGAGGUUAGCAUGUUAUAUCAUACCCCCAAGACAUGCUAACCUCUCACCAUUACCAAUAACAGGGGAGGUUAGCAUGUUAUAUCAUACCCCCAAGACAUGCUAACCUCUCACCAUUACAAUAACAGGGGAGGUUAGCAUGUUAUAUCAUACCCCCAAGACAUGCUAACCUCUCACCAUUACAAUAACAGGGGAGGUUAGCAUGUUAUAUCAUACCCCCAAGACAUGCUAACCUCUCACCAUUACAAUAACAGGGGAGGUUAGCAUGUUAUAUCAUACCCCCAAGACAUGCUAACCUCUCACCAUUACAAUAACAGGGGAGGUUAGCAUGUUAUAUCAUACCCCCAAGACAUGCUAACCUCUCACCAUUACAAUAACA